CAGGUGAGUGACAUCAGUUUUUUAAAUAUCUUGUUAAAGUGUUUAAUAUAUCGAUCAACCUCGAGGACCAGCGAAGAGCUCUAGAGGUCUCAUGAACUUCAUCCAAAGAGUCAACAUGUCUGACUGUGAGGACUUUACAGGGAGCGGUUUGACUUCGGUGCAAAUGUUGAUCUCUCUCUGCAGUCUAAGGUCCUUACUCAGCCCAGAACUGUGGGAGAGGACCUGCAGAGAGCUGAUCCAGAGGUUGCAGCAGGAUGCAGGUACGUCCUGAGUCUGAACACCUUGCUGAGCCUGGAAGUGGCGCUGGAGUAGACCAGGAAGGAUCCCUCCUCUGUGCUGAAGUAUUCCCAGUCUCUACAGCCAAAAGUGGGCAGACUGUGGACUGGGACGAAGCCUUCGUAGCCCUGCCACCUGAAACAAAAUCACAGUCAGAGUGGACCAACAGCUACGGGUACACGACCUGAGACGGGAGUACACACCUGUAGACCACGCUGUUCAGAGAGUACGAGCUGCCGUCAUGAGAGUUCGCUACGACCAGGAACUUCUCAUCCCCGAUGGUGAAGAACUCCCAGUCUACCGCGCUGAACACAACCACGCACGGAUUAUUUAUAAACCAGUACAUCACAAAUCAAGAUUUAUAACCCUGGUGUAAUGACUCAGACUGUUACCUGUGUGUGAGGAUGUCCUGGAAGCGGAUGAAGGUCUGAGUGAGCGUGUUGAGCUCGUACACGGUGGAGUUGAUGCUGUAGAGACUCGGGCCUCGGCCUGAGAUCAUCUGACUAUUUGCAACCGCCAGAAAGAACCGGCCAUCGAUCUGAAAAGUCUCCCAGUCCGUCGCUCCAAUCGUCUGCACAGAGGAAGCUCAGCGUGAGAGGACAAAGAGGAGCACCUGAAGGCUUCACUGAUUUAUACUUUAACCUCUCAGGAUAUCAGAGACAGCAGGUUGUUUUUCACUCCAGGUGUAAUGACUGCUGCAGCCUCCGUAGGGCACCAGCAGGGCUUUAUGGCCUGUCAUCCACCUGUGUCUGAGAUCAAUUUGCAGCUCUAUUAAAGGUGUAAACAGAGUGCUGCUGUUUAACGUCCUCACACUGAUUCUGACAGAAGUUGAAUUAAAGGUUCAGAAAGCUUUAAGACAUUUCUCUGAGGUUUUAAAAUCCAAUAAAAGUCUUCAAAGAUGA
Molecule: long non-coding RNA, 1178 nt
Organism: Notolabrus celidotus (New Zealand spotty)
Lineage: Eukaryota; Metazoa; Chordata; Actinopteri; Labriformes; Labridae
Exons: 2
Source: RefSeq, a predicted model, not a curated record